This 426-nucleotide ribosomal RNA is filed under the name uncultured bacterium. RNAcentral's name for it is "bacterial SSU rRNA". It matches the Rfam family "Bacterial small subunit ribosomal RNA", at positions 354 to 796 of the family's 1533-position model. The record is from RNAcentral.
GCAAGGAAUAUUGUGCAAUGGGCGAAAGCCUGACACAGCGACGCCGCGUGAAGGAUGAAGGCCUUCGGGUUGUAAACUUCUUUUCUCAGGGAUGAAUAAUGACAGUACCUGAGGAAUAAGCCACGGCUAACUACGUGCCAGCAGCUGCGGUAAUACGUAGGUGGCGAGCGUUAUCCGGAUUUACUGGGCGUAAAGUGGGCGUAGGCGGCUUGCUAAGUCGGAUGUGAAAUUUCCCGGCCUAACUGGGAAGGGUCAUUCGAUACUGGUGAGCUAGAGUGCAACAGAGGGAGGUGGAAUUCCCGGUGUAGUGGUGAAAUGCGUAGAUAUCGGGAGGAACACCAGUGGCGAAAGCGGCCUCCUGGGUUGUUACUGACGCUGUUGCCCGAAAGUGUGGGGAGCAAACAGGAUUAGAUACCCGGGUAGUCC